AUGGGGCUGACGCUGCUGAGCCCCUACCUGCGGUCCGUCGGCUCCGACUUCCGGCACGGCGCCAACUUCGCCACGCUCGCCUCCAUGGCGCUGCUGCCCAACACGUCGCUCUUCGUCACCGGCAUCAGCCCCUUCUCCCUCGCCAUCCAGCUCCGGCAGAUGAAGGAGCUCAGCAACAGAGCCAUCGCCUCCAGAGGCUCCAGCCAACUUCCCCCGCCCGAUGUUUUCGGCAACUCUCUGUACACGGUCGACAUCGGCCAGAAUGAUUUCGCCUCCAACCUGGCGGCCCAGGGCAUCGAGCGUGUCAAGCAAACGCUUCCUUCGGUUAUCAGCCAGAUAUCAGAGACAAUACAGGACUUGCACAGCAUCGGGGCUCGCAAAUUCAUGGUGUUCAACAUGGCACCGAUCGGGUGCUACCCGGCUUUUCUAGUCGAGCUUCCACAUAGCAGCAACGAUCUGGAUGAGUAUGGCUGCAUGACAAGUUACAAUAGCGCGGUUGUCUACUACAAUGAACUGCUGAACAACAGCUUGGCCGAGGUUAGGAAGACGCUGCAGAAUACGUCGAUCGUGUUGAUUGACAAAUAUUCCGUCAUGCUCGAGCUGUUCAGGCAUCCAGAAGAUCAUGGCGAGCUUUCUCUCGAAUCUUUUUCUAACAUCCAACUAGUACAAGUAUCAAGGCUCAAGUAUGGGACCAAGGCUUGCUGCGGAUACGGUGGUGGAGCUUACAAUUUUGACCCAGAUCUGUACUGUGGCACCGGCAAGAUUGUGAAGGGCAACAAUGCGAGUGCGGCGGCCUGCGGAGACCCGCAGAACUACGUGAGCUGGGAUGGAAUCCAUGCCACUGAAGCUGCAAACAAUAUCGUAGCAUCUGCAGUGAUGAGUGGUUCGUACUCGUAUCCGCCUUCUGAUCUUUCAAAACUUUGCCAGCCGUGA
This 933-nucleotide ribosomal RNA is filed under the name Triticum aestivum (bread wheat). Its description in RNAcentral is "partial small subunit ribosomal RNA". Lineage: Eukaryota; Viridiplantae; Streptophyta; Magnoliopsida; Poales; Poaceae. The record is from RNAcentral.